CAGUAGCCGCGGGAAUACGUAGGGUGCAAGCGUUAAUCGGAAUUACUGGGCGUAAAGCGCGCGUAGGUGGUUUGUUAAGUUGGAUGUGAAAUCCCCGGGCUCAACCUGGGAACUGCAUCCAAAACUGGCAAGCUAGAGUAUGGUAGAGGGUGGUGGAAUUUCCUGUGUAGCGGUGAAAUGAGUAGAUAUAGGAAGGAACACCAGUGGCGAAGGCGACCACCUGGACUGAUACUGACACUGAGGUGCGAAAGCGUGGGGAGCAAACAGGAUUAGAUACCCCAGUAGUCCCUGUCUCUUAUAC
RNAcentral lists this ribosomal RNA (301 nucleotides) under uncultured bacterium. Its description in RNAcentral is "partial 16S ribosomal RNA". It matches the Rfam family "Bacterial small subunit ribosomal RNA", at positions 509 to 807 of the family's 1533-position model. The record is from RNAcentral.